AGCCCAUUUUGGUGGGUCCUAAUCCAACAUGGCCUUAUAAGAAGGGGAGAUUAGGACACAGACCCGCAGAGGGAUGACCAUGUGAAGACACAGGGAGAAGAUGGCCAUCCACAAGCCACGGAGAGAAGCCUCAGGAGAAAUCAGCCCUGUCAACACCAUGAUCUGGGACCUUGCAGCCUCCAGAACUGACGCCAGCAGCGGAAUCCCCCCAGGAAGGUGUCGGGCCAGCGUCCCCUCAGUGACCCUCCCUCCCUGCAAAGUGGGAGUGGGACCUGUGCUCCUGGCCGUCUGACCACAGGAGGGACAGGCCGUCCCACUGUCCCCAGCAACGUCCACCCCCUCCACGCCUCCAGAGUGCUGCUUCCUCGUCCCGCCCCUCCACAGCCCGUGGCCUGAG
This is a long non-coding RNA of Balaenoptera acutorostrata (minke whale), 397 nucleotides long. RefSeq lists it as uncharacterized. The record is from RefSeq and is a predicted model, not a curated record. NCBI's taxonomy places the organism in Eukaryota, Metazoa, Chordata, Mammalia, Artiodactyla, Balaenopteridae. The transcript is spliced from 3 exons.